GAUGAACGCUGGCGGCGUGCCUAAUACAUGCAAGUCGAGCGAACGGACGUGAAGCUUGCUUUUCUGAUGUUAGCGGCGGACGGGUGAGUAACACGUGGAUAACCUACCUAUAAGACUGGGAUAACUUCGGGAAACCGGAGCUAAUACCGGAUAAUAUUUUGAACCGCAUGGUUCAAAAGUGAAAGACGGUCUUGCUGUCACUUAUAGAUGGAUCCGCUCUGCAUUAGCUAGUUGGUAAGGUAACGGCUUACCAAGGCAACGAUGCAUAGCCGACCUGAGAGGGUGAUCGGCCACACUGGAACUGAGACACGGUCCAGACUCCUACGGGAGGCAGCAGUAGGGAAUCUUCCGCAAUGGGCGAAAGCCUGACGGAGCAACGCCGCGUGAGUGAUGAAGGUCUUCGGAUCGUAAAACUCUGUUAUUAGGGAAGAACAUAUGUGUAAGUAACUGUGCACAUCUUGACGGUACCUAAUCAGAAAGCCACGGCUAACUACGUG
Molecule: ribosomal RNA, 497 nt
Filed under: uncultured bacterium
Lineage: Bacteria
Description: partial 16S ribosomal RNA
Rfam family: Bacterial small subunit ribosomal RNA
Source: RNAcentral